AUGUUGAUUAAAUUGAUAAAAGAUGCUGCCCGAGCCGGUAUUUACAUGAGAAGUGAUAAUCUAUACCUUUCUGCUUUUAGUAACAAAGAUGAUGAAAUCUUUGAGCUUGUGACGCAUCCUUCUUACCGAAUAAUCAAAGAUUCUAUUCCAUUCGGAUGUAGCACGGAGUACCCCAGCAUGAUGAACUAUGAAAGAACUAAAUAUGUUCCAGCAGAUCAAACUGAGAAGAGGUUGCUGGAGAUAAUUCUUAACAUGGAUAAAUUUGAACAUGGCGUUGAAGUGCUGUCAAAUUAUGACCAUGCCAUUAUGUCAGAUCCGCUUGUGAGCCAGGAUGUGAGACAACAAAAGAUUCAAGAAGUCCAAGAGGCUUUAGCUCGAAAGGCAGUGGUUCUAGGGGAAGUUUCCCGCAUUGUAGAGUUAUUCUUAUCUGUGAUUCAGAAAUGGAAGGAAGGCCGUUCAUUCCUUACAAAACUGUUGUUUGAGUAUAUGAUGCAUUGGAAAGUUAUGUCAGAUAAGGUUCGCAAUGGUAGUGUUGAUGAUCAGUUUAGCAAAGAAAUUGAGUCUGUAAUCUUGCUGAAGUUCAGAUCUGAUGCAAUUAAGCUUCUCAAUGUGGUGUGCAACUCCAAGGGGCCUGGACUUGAUAAGAAGAGACCCACGGAACCUGGUGAUGAUGACAAAGGAUCAGAGGAUCCUGGUGAUGAUGACAAAAGAUCAGAGGAUCCUGGUGACGAUGACAAAGGAUCAGAGGAUCCUUGUGACAAUGACAAAGGAUCAGAGGUUCCUGGGUCAAGCUAUGGACUGACUGGUCACGAUAAGGAUAAGAAAGGAAACAGACCUGGAUCUGAACCAUUUGAUAGUUGCGAUGUCAACCUGGAGGGUGGCCGUGAGGGUGGAGAACAGAAGAACUAUAAUGAUAGCAUGCCAGGGAUAAGCUCUAGACCACUUGAUAGUUGUGAUGUCAACCUGGAGGGUGCCCGCGAGGGUGGAAAACAGAAGGAGAAUGAUAGCAUGCCAGGGACAAGUGACAUGAGCAAAAUCGCAAUAGCUUUCAUGCUAGGAUUGGCUGUUAACAAGAACUUGCUCGAGCCUUUGAUCAGGAAAAGAAGUUUAGAACCUUUCGUCAUCACAAAAAAAGGGGUGAACUUCUCAAUCAUCAGCCGAAGGAGUGUGGAACCUUUGCCAUUGCUACCUGGUUCUCCAGGAUCUGAACAUGCAACUGGUUUGGGUCAAGUGCUGCCAUUAAUACCAGAUUCUUCAAUGUCUUUACAUGGACAUGGUCUGGAUCCGCUGCUGCUGCCAGGGACAAUUCCACGUGGCCCUGCUGUCAGCUCGUUUGGACGGUCUUUACAUGGACAUGGUUUGGAUCUGAUUGUGCCGAGGAUGCUGCCAUGGAUAAUUCCACCUGUCCUUGCUGUCAGCUCUUCUGGACGUGGAUUGGAGAUGGUUCUAGAGCCGAGCCGCUAUAAAACUCCUGAUUUUUCCUUGAUUUCUUUAGACGAACCAGAUCUGGGUGAGGCGCAAGAACGGAUCAGUGCUAGUGGGAGUUCGAGUGCUAGUGGGAGUUCGACCGAGGAAGAUAUGGUUAGCUUCUUCCAGGAAUUUAUCUCCUCGGAAUCAUAUCCUCUUUCUACAGGCCAGACACUUCUUGAAAUUUUCUGUAUCCACACAAACUUGAGCUUGAUAAAGACUAUUGUUCUGUAUGAUGAUCGAGGUGGUAAUCUUAUCUAUGAGUCCAAGAAAGGAGAAAAGGAGCAGUUUAUCAAAAGACGCUCUAAUUGGUUGUCCGAGCAUACAGGAAAAAAACAAUCCGCUUUCAUUGAUUGCCUUGUUCUUGAAGGCCCAAGCCGUCCUAUGACUGCUCAUGCAGACUUGUGGAUCGUUCAAAUUGAUGUGCCAGCUGAAUCAUCUUUUAUUAAGCUUGAAGAUGAAGAUCCUGAAGUACCCGGGAGUGUAUUUGAGGCCACAUUACUGUUGGAUGAUGAUUACAUUGACAAAACCAAUAGCAGUUUGAUUUCUUUGAGAGGUGGCUUUCUGAAUAUUACAUUGGUGACUUUCAGCAAUGCAGUGUCAUCAUCAGUCAGAUUGGCAUUUCAUGUUUCUCCUAUUAGCAGUUUUGGUGAUUGCCCUAAAGUGGAGGGUGACCUUGCAUUAUAUGUUGAAAAUUAUCCAGUUGGUUUCAGUAUCUUGAAGAAUCAAGUCGAGGAUGAUGCUGUACAUUUGGUGAGACUGGGUCCUUCUGUUUUCGAACUUCCCUUGACAAGGCAUGUUCUUGCACUGCCCAUUGGUUCUACUGUACAUGUCUUAGGGACUUUGAAACUACCAAGUUUGGAAGUGUGUGUGGAUCAGCAUUUGCGGCUCGACAAGAACGUUAUUCGGGCUGAAUGGCAUAUGGAUUCUAGCGUGAGUGCUGCUAUAUGGAUUGAGUCAAGUUCAUGUUUCUAG
RNAcentral lists this ribosomal RNA (2442 nucleotides) under Triticum aestivum (bread wheat). Its description in RNAcentral is "partial small subunit ribosomal RNA". The record is from RNAcentral. Lineage: Eukaryota; Viridiplantae; Streptophyta; Magnoliopsida; Poales; Poaceae.